This is a long non-coding RNA of Apodemus sylvaticus (European woodmouse), 1417 nucleotides long. RefSeq lists it as uncharacterized. Lineage: Eukaryota; Metazoa; Chordata; Mammalia; Rodentia; Muridae. The transcript is spliced from 3 exons. The record is from RefSeq and is a predicted model, not a curated record.
AUAAGGAUGGGGGAGGAGAGAUCACAGCACACGGCAAGAAGGAAGAAGGAAGGAGGGUGAGAGGAGGAGAUGAGAGAAGGAAGAGGGCCCAGCCAGCGGCUGAAGGUCCACACCCUGCAGCUCUGUGGCUGACAGCCACUCAGCUGGGCAAGACGUGGAGUGUAUGGAAGUUUAUCUCCUAAGUAAUACAUAUUCUGGGAAGUUGGCAAUGGACAUCAUCACAAUUCCCAAUCUUCUAAAGACUGACAACGUUCUAAAACAGCAGCACCAGGAGACAAAGGAAGACAGUUCAGAUUUCAACUAUAGCAUAACUGCUGAACCAGCAGUCACUGCGCCGCUGAUGGAUGAGAUGGGAUGGGAUGAGAGUAGAGAGAGACAAGAUUGUCUUCUUCCUUGAGGAUAUCCACUCUGAAGGGUGCUUCUGGUGGGAUUUCCAACAAGCCUGUAUAUCUACAUCCAAGAUGGCUCCAAAGUGACUAGCCCCAAAUGCUCUGACCUCACAGACCGCUCCAACACGGCCAAGAUUUCUCAAGUUCCAGAUGGUCCUGCAGAGCCUGGACAGCAAGUGGAUUAGUCUUCAGUCUUCUCUCUUUCUUCCUGGCCUUGGCCAGCCUGCCAGCUUUCUUGAGUCCCCAACAAAGGGGCUAUGAUCUCAGAACUCCAGAACAUUUCAUGUGUGAUAAAAUUUGGAGAUCACAUGGCUAGGAAAAAUGUGUGUUGACAUAAAAUAGCACAGUCCAGCCUAUCAAUUUAUAUAUGACACUGGCCUGGGUGCAAUUUCUCAUUUUAGUGAGAAAACCUCCAGAAAAACCUGUGAGUUAAACAUUUAAUGCCCAUUUUGCAUAAAAAGAAACUAAGACUCUAUUGUAUUCAGUGAAAUGUACAAGUCCAGUUUUUGUAGCUAGGAAAAGGUUGCCCAGGGGAGGGAGAGAAGAGAAAUAGGGUAAUGGGAUAAAUGACAUGAGAAGAGAAAUGGGAACUACUUGGGUGGUGAGGAUCAAACUAGAAUACCUCCUCCUGUACUGAAUUUGACAUUCUUUUUGAGCUUUAGUCUCCCUCCCACAUCUCUUGGAACAAAGAUUUCAUCAGAGAUUGUACUGUCCCUUCCCCCCACAGCAUUUAGCUGUGACCCUCCUGGCUGGCAACCCCCACCCUUCCCCAGGCUUUAUCUCCAGCCUAUUCAAGCUGCGGCAUUCCUGGCCUACAGCCUCCACCCUUCCCCUGGCGUUAUCUCUGGCCUAUUCAAGAUAACAAUAUAGCAGAUUUCACCUCAGCGCAGCUCCACCCGGAGACCAACAGAAAACUGUGUGACUGAAAGCAGACAACCCGCUGAGAAGAAGAUCUAAUGAACUCUCGGCCAUUUGGGGGGCAGGGUGGUUUUUCCUAAGAUUAUAAAUAUUGGCUUAAUGAUAGUAAA